This 857-nucleotide unclassified non-coding RNA is filed under the name Leishmania donovani. Its description in RNAcentral is "gene:unknown". The record is from RNAcentral. Lineage: Eukaryota; Euglenozoa; Kinetoplastea; Trypanosomatida; Trypanosomatidae.
CCGCUCCCUCUCAUGCUCACAUCACGGCGGUCGCCUCGAUGCCGCUUCUCUAUCGGACCCGAUGUCACACGCUUUCACGCCGGAAGCGAGGAGCCUCACCGUGAACGAGAUGGUGCCCUGCGGCGAGAGGGGCGACUUGCAGGUCCUCUCCGGCCGCAGCACCACGGGCGCCAUCUCCAUGACGAACCAGCCGCACACCCCCAUCACCGUCGCAACAUGCUACAGUGAGGUAGGAGGAGGAAGGUUUGACGCAUUCGAAGGGCUUUGUUAUGCCGGCGUACCAGAAUCCUUACCGCUACAACGCGUACAGCACUGUCUUCGUCAUCGCGCACAAGAACGCGUGGGACACACACACACACACACGCGCGAGAACACUUUGAGCCGGCAACAGCGAAAGACACGUGCACACGCCGAGGAAGCGAAAAAGAAGUGUGGCGCUCACAACUGUUUCGAAAAGCGACGAAACCAGCUUGAACGACUUCUCUGCUCUAUCUCUCUCAUCGUAAUGGGCCCAUGCGAGAGACCAUUCACACUCAUGCGUAUGUCACGCUCUCGGCGGUGCGUGUUGGAUGUGGCCCUAGAUGGUUUUGGCAACUUUGGGGUUUGUGGUCAUCGUUCUUCUUACGCCGUUUCGUUGAUUGUUGUCGUUUCAGGCCUAUCCUCGAUCCUUUCCCAGCCUCCACGCCUGCGGUCACCACCCUCUCCCAUCGCGGUGCUGGAAGCGAUCUUUCUCCCCCGCCAAUCUCCUCUGCUGCAUCACCAUCUUUUUCUUUAUUUUCUAUCUUUUCGCAUCGUUUCAGGAGUACUUAAUGACUGCCUCUCCGCCCCUUCUCCCUACCCCAUCCCCACCUUGAAUC